This 253-nucleotide ribosomal RNA is filed under the name uncultured bacterium. RNAcentral's name for it is "partial 16S ribosomal RNA". It matches the Rfam family "Bacterial small subunit ribosomal RNA", at positions 524 to 776 of the family's 1533-position model. The record is from RNAcentral.
GACGGAGGGCGCAAGCGUUGUUCGGAAUCACUGGGCGUAAAGCGCGCGCGGGCGGAUGGACAAGUCGGAAGUGAAAGACCGGGGCUCAACUCCGGACCCGCUUUCGAGACUGUUCGUCUAGGGACUGGUAGGGGCGGGUGGAAUUCCCGGUGUAGCGGUGGAAUGCGUAGAGAUCGGGAAGAACACCGGUGGCGAAGGCGGCCCGCUGGGCCAGAUCCGACGCUGAGGCGCGAAAGCGUGGGGAGCAAACAGG